This is a non-coding RNA of Paramuricea clavata, 1240 nucleotides long. NCBI's taxonomy places the organism in Eukaryota, Metazoa, Cnidaria, Anthozoa, Malacalcyonacea, Plexauridae. The record is from the annotation of a GenBank genome assembly.
GGACUGUAUUCUAUCGAUUUAUUUCAUUGGAAAGAUUAUCUAUUUACAACGCGAUUUUAGACUUCCUCGUCUCGCUACGAUCUGAUCACAACUGAAUUUACAUAUUUGCCUCAAUCAAUGUUGGUAUUAAAUUACAAUGAAUCACUAUGACGUAUUUUAAGCAAUACUAUAUACAUAUUUGUACAUUAAGUAGCAGAAGCAACUGCUGUGCGGAAAACUGGCGGCACUGCGCUGGGAACUUACAACACCCCACCCACCUUGAUUCAUAAAGGAUUGAUCUAUGAAUCAAGCAUCGCCCUUGUCUUCGCUUUGGAAAUAACAGCAGCAGCUCGUCUUGGACGCUCAUGCAAAUCAUGCAAGGAACCUUCUGACUCAGCUGAAGGGGAAUUCCCUUCCUUCCCUUUCCCACCCGGUCGAGCUUGAAUCUCUAACGGGUAAAGUUUCUGGACCGGUCUUUUCAGGUAAACUGGUCUACCCUUCCCUGCAACUCUUACUUUGGCUCCUCUAAUUUCCUUGUCCUUUCCUAUAAUUAGUUCUUCUACUUUCGCUAAUUUCCAAUUACCUCGUUUCUCUCCCUCUCCAUACACUGUCACUACAUCUCCCUUCUUCACACUCUUUCUCGCAUUUUGACUCUUACAUUUAUGAAAUUCUCUCAACCCUGUCAGGUACUCACUUUGCCACCUCUUCCAGAAAUGUUGUAAUUUCAACGUAAUAUACUUAAAUCUUAAUCCACAGCUACGUUCCUCUCUAACUACUUCCCUCUGUGGUAUGAAGCUAAUAGCUCUACCAUAAAUUAGGUGUGACGGUGUCAAAACCUCUCCUUCACACUCUUCAUACUCAUCUGUUAAUGGUCUAGCAUUUAAUGUACCCUCUAUCUCUACAAGCACUGUGGUAAGUUCAUCUACUGUCAAUUUAGCAUUACCUAGAACCUUUCUAAGACACUGUUUAACACUCCGAACCAUUCUCUCAAAAAAUCCUCCCCACCAAGGCGCUCUUUCUAAAUUAAACCUCCAUGUUACUCGUUUGGUUUGCAAUUCCGCCUUAACCUUAGGUUGGUUAAACAACCGUCUAACUGCCCUUUCUGCUGCCUUAAACGUUUUGGCAUUGUCAGAUACUAUAAGGCUUGGCAUUCCUCUCCUAGCAGCAAAUCUCCGUAGACAACACAAAAAUGUCUCUGCAGAUAAAUCCCUAACUAGCUCCAAAUGUAUAGCUCUAGUCACACAACAAGAAAACAAUGCUA